Acyrthosiphon pisum (pea aphid) is the source of this 2260-nucleotide long non-coding RNA. RefSeq lists it as uncharacterized. Lineage: Eukaryota; Metazoa; Arthropoda; Insecta; Hemiptera; Aphididae. The record is from RefSeq and is a predicted model, not a curated record. The transcript is spliced from 3 exons.
UUUAACGAAAUUCGAUGUCAUCGAUCCAUAAUCGUUAAAAAACCUCGCGUACAAUGACAUAAAAUACACUCUGUAUAAAAACUUGACUUCCGGUCCGCCGAUGUCGCUUCCCCUUGCUGGACAUAUCUAAAUGACCUAGCGUAGCGCCAGUUGAUAUUAUGUCGAUCCCAUACUAUUGAGAUGCCGUCACUUGCAGCUUCCCAUGGCCACGCAUACCUACAUAAUCUGAAUAACCAGUAUUACAAGUUUAAAUGUAUUUGAUGUAGUAGAAGGAACAAUAAUAUAAUCAAAAUUGUAAUACAUGUUAGCAAAGCACUUUUUGUUAGACUAACACUACCACAUAUCUACGUACUCUGUUCUUCAGUGAUCAUAUUAUACCUAACUGGUAGGAGGAACAUAAUAAUAUACACAUCGCCAAUAUACCAGCAUCACAAUAUUUUUGUCUUGUGUCUAGUACACUACUAGUGUCAGCCUUAUAUUGACCAUUAUAUUAUUGUAUUAUCAUUUAUCAUAAUAUAUGAAGUUAAUGAUUAAUCAAUUAACUUCAGAUAUUGUCAGUGCUUAAUAAAUAUUAGAAAAUGUACGUUAAAAUAUUGUUUAGUAAUUUAUAAUAAUUAAAUUAAAUAUAUUUGCUUUAAUCUCAGCUCAAAAUCAGCAAUGGAGAUGACAUAUUCCAGGAUAAUUUAUUCAUUUUUAAUUUUCGGUAAGGCCAGCAUAAUGUGCUAAGGCGACAAUAAUAUUUGGCUCUACAACAUCGCAGUACGCGUAGGAACGAGCAGUCCUGUUAUCACUGAGUGAUUCGGCAGUAACGUAAGGAUCCGGAAUUUUGUGUGACAGAAAACUCGAAAGACGACAAGCGGUAUCAUCAUGCUCAGUGUUGGUGAUUGUUGGAUAAAUAAAUAUUACCUAUAUUAUUAUAAGUGAAAAUAGUUGUGGUUAGGGCUCCAAGGACUUGGAGACUCAAGGCGGGUUUCCACUAUACACUUACGCGUGUACGUGCAUACAAAUCCUUUGCUGUGAUUGGUUCGUUAGGUUAAGUAACCACACGAUUCCCCACGAUACCAUGUUGUUGGACAUAUAGCUGAACACUUUUUGUGUACACGGCAAACGUGUAUAGUGGAAACCCUCCUUUAAGUCAUAAUAGGCACCUUCAAUCAAUAUACUAUCUAUAUUUAAUAUUAGGCCCUCCUACAUAUUAUAUUCAUAAAAAUUGGUUUGGGGCAGUGAAACUCCUUUGAUUUUCUUCAAUAGCAUCUUGUUCGAUGGGAAAGUGAAUCUAGUUGGUGCAUUCGGGAGGUCAUAUUUUAAAAUUCUCAAUUGUUUUCAAAAGCGUGUAACGGUUAAGUUUUAUGCCUUUUCCUAUUACAAAACUAUAGUAAAAUAUAACACAUAUUUUAUAAAGGUAAUCAAGUUAAUAUUUAUUUCACAUAUAGCUUUUUAUGUAAUACAAUGAAUUAAUUAUGAAUAUAAACUAAAUAUAAUGACAAGACAUUUGCUAUAGAAAACUCUUACGGAAGUUUUCGUUGUAUACAAAAUAAAUUCGCGGUUGACAAUAUAAUGCUUCCCAUUCACAUUUAAUAUAAUUGAAAUAACUCACAGUAUCGCAGAUUACUUAUUUUGGUAACAGUUGCCGUAGUAGAAACGGUGUAGCUAAUGACGACAAUUAGGACGCUGGUGGUCUGUUAUCGCAGAUAUCGAUAAGGACGGUGGGCAGCGGCAGUCACACUGCGGGACGAGACGUAACUACAAUAUUUAUAAUUAGUGGCGGUAAUGUUUUUAUUAUAGUUGCCGCGACGUUUUUAAAUACAACGGCGGCGAUACGGCGGUGCUUAUUACGCGUCAUAGAGCUCUGUACGGUCUGGUCUAGACCGGUCCGGACUGGACCGGACCGGACCACGGUCCCGUCUUUUUCGGUCUUUGUGUAUUGUAAUUUAAUGUGGUUCGGUCCGGUUCGGUCCCUUUGUCUACAAAAAAAAAAAUGGUCCGGUCCGGUCCGUCUUCAAAUUCAUAUUAUAAAAAAAAAUAGGUCAUAUGGUCCGGUCUAAAGAUCUGCAUUUUGAACGUCGAUAAUAUAAUUUUCAUAUAAUUUAUAUUACGUAGUAAAAUAAAUAACAUCAUAUUAUUAUGUCAUAUUUACUUAGAUUAUAAUGUUUCGGGACACAAAAAUAGCUCUCACGUUCUAUAUGGUCUUGUUGUAAUAGAGUGUAGACUAGACAUAAUAUUCACCCAUUAUCGAUCAAUUAUCAGAAUUCGAGGUAGG